CCUCUCUCCAACCUUACCUCUUGCCACUCGUCCCAUUCUCCGUCUUCUCUUCCUCUCUUGGACCCUCGUGUUAUCUCCUGCUCUUGCUGCCAUGACUGCUGUUGAGGGCCUAAUUUCCCAUGGAUGCUCAAGUUUGGCUCCGAGGGCAACCACACUUUCUCCGUCGGCCUGGCGCCAACACCAUCCUCUUCUUCCUUCCUAGGGCUGCAGCGCUAUUCCUCUCAGGUGCAUGGACGUCAAGAACCAUCCUCACCUGCAUUUCCGCAAUCAGUUUCACAUGCAGAGCUUAACUUCUGGCAGAAUGAUUCUGUUUGCCACCGCUUCUCACGAAGGAUCUGUUUAGAAUGUGUCUAUCUUUUUUCAUGAAUCAAAAGUGGUCUUAGUUCUCUUGAGGUUCUUGGAGUUGCUGCAAUAGAAGACCGCUGCAGGAAGGUGUUCCUGAAACAAUCGAUCUGCUUCGGGAGGCUGGAAUCAACUUUUGGAUGCUUACUGGUGAUAAACAAAAUACAGCCAUUCAGAUAGCGCUCUCUUGCAGCCUAAUUUCUCCUGAUCUUCAGUAUGUGGAUGAAGGGAAGACGCCCUUGAUCUUGUUUUGUGCUGCUGUUGGUGGAGACUCAGGCCUGCACAGAUGGUGUAGGCAUACGUGAGGAAGCUAAUAGGAAGACUGCUACCAUCCAGAUCUAAUAAUCAUGCAGAGCCAAAAGGACAGCUUUUGUUAAUAAAUGGGAGGACAGAAGAUAAAGUUGCAAGGAGCUUGGAAAGGGUGUUGCUUACAAUGCGAAUAAGCACCUCGGAGCCUAAGGUUUUGAGGAGUGCUUUCAAAAAGAUGCACAUCUAUGUUCAUUAGGUUAUUCAUAUGAGUGGAAUGAGUAGUAUAUACCAUGUUGCAUGGAUACUUAUGUUACAUUGGUAUGGAUACGAAUGCCCGGUGUGGGUGUGAUUGUUCAAUUGAGUGUUUAUUCUGUUUUUUGACGUGCUAAUAUCAUUUGUUUUUAUUGGAGGACAUUGAACUUUUAUUUGUAGGAUCGUUUUUGAAGUAGACUAGGAAUUGUAGCUGUUGUCCUGUGUUUCUGAUAGAAUUUUCACCAAAUUAAAAAUCGUUUUUAAAUAUGAAAACGACCUUUAAAAUUUUUUGCUUUUUUUUUUUUUUGUAUCUAAAACUUCUUUGGCAUAUGUAAAGUGGCCACCAGUUUUCAGUUGGACCAAUUAGGUUGGAUUUGCAUCAUUAUUUAGUAGUCUUCAUUUUUUUUAGAAUUUUGGAUCUUUACUCAUUAAACUCACACGACAUUGGUGGAAAGGUUUGCUUUGUUGUUUUCAUUUUUUUUUUGAGUGAAAUUUUAGAUCUUAUAGUUGGUAAGGGUUCAACUUAGUAAAUAUAGGUUCACUUCUUCAUUUUUAGGACGUGUUUAUGUUCUUAUAAAUUGUUUUAUUUUUUUUGCUUGAAUUCUCGAUUUAUUUAGCAUAGGGUGCAAGGAAGGAGUGUUCAGAUACGUGGGGAUAGAGUAGAAUAGAUGAUUUGUAUUUGAUUUUUGAAUUCGAUAUCUCAACUUUUGAAUUGGAUAGUUUGAUCUUCCCUACUUUUAUAGGAGAGCAUAUGGAGUUCUUCUUCUACCCAACUGGUUUCAUAAAAACUCCUCUUUUGUAGAAGGAGUUCCUACUUCCAGGUGAUAUGCCAUUUGAUGUCAAGUAGUUUUUUGAAAGAAAUUUUUUUAUUGUGCCUAAAAACAUUCUAAAAGUGUCUUAUCAUGCAAUGAUAUGCCUUCGUUUUGUUCUUAC
Molecule: long non-coding RNA, 1776 nt
Organism: Nymphaea colorata (pocket water lily)
Lineage: Eukaryota; Viridiplantae; Streptophyta; Magnoliopsida; Nymphaeales; Nymphaeaceae
Exons: 6
Source: RefSeq, a predicted model, not a curated record